RNAcentral lists this transfer RNA (75 nucleotides) under Stenamma diecki. Its description in RNAcentral is "tRNA-Asp". The record is from RNAcentral. Lineage: Eukaryota; Metazoa; Arthropoda; Insecta; Hymenoptera; Formicidae.
AAAGAAUUAGUUAAAUAAUAACAUUAAAAUGUCAUUUUAAAAUUAUUACCUUUUUAAAUUAAAUAAUAUUCUUUU